This 465-nucleotide ribosomal RNA is filed under the name Vreelandella stevensii. RNAcentral's name for it is "partial 16S ribosomal RNA". It matches the Rfam family "Bacterial small subunit ribosomal RNA", at positions 338 to 795 of the family's 1533-position model. The record is from RNAcentral. Lineage: Bacteria; Pseudomonadati; Pseudomonadota; Gammaproteobacteria; Oceanospirillales; Halomonadaceae.
CCUACGGGGUGCAGCAGUGGGGAAUAUUGGACAAUGGGCGAAAGCCUGAUCCAGCCAUGCCGCGUGUGUGAAGAAGGCCUUCGGGUUGUAAAGCACUUUCAGUGGGGAAGAAAGCCUUGGGGCUAAUACCCUCGAGGAAGGACAUCACCCACAGAAGAAGCACCGGCUAACUCCGUGCCAGCAGCCGCGGUAAUACGGAGGGUGCGAGCGUUAAUCGGAAUUACUGGGCGUAAAGCGCGCGUAGGCGGUCUGAUAAGCCGGUUGUGAAAGCCCCGGGCUCAACCUGGGAACGGCAUCCGGAACUGUCAGGCUAGAGUGCAGGAGAGGAAGGUAGAAUUCCCGGUGUAGCAGUGAAAUGCGUAGAGAUCGGGAGGAAUACCAGUGGCGAAGGCGGCCUUCUGGACUGACACUGACGCUGAGGUGCGAAAGCGUAGGUAGCAAACAGGAUUAGAUACCCUAGUAGUC